CAAUAGCGUAUAUUAAAGUUGUUGCAGUUAAAAAGCUCGUAGUUGGAUUUCUGGUUGAAGCGACCGGUCGGGCGUUGAUUCGUCUGCACUGGAGUCGGUUUUGGCCAUCCUCUAGGAAAGUGCGUCUGGUAUUAAGUUAUCGGGCGUAUGAUCCUGGUCUUUUACUGUGAAAAAAUUAGAGUGUUUAAAGCAGGCCUUCGCCUUGAAUACAUUAGCAUGGAAUAAUAAGAUAGGACUUUGGUCUAUUUUGUUGGUUUGCAGACCGAAGUAAUGAUUAAUAGGGAUAGUUGGGGGUAUUUAUAUUCCGAUGUCAGAGGUGAAAUUCUUAGAUUUUCGGAAGAUAAACUUAUGCGAAAGCAUUUACCAAGGAUGUAUUCAUUAA
Molecule: ribosomal RNA, 382 nt
Filed under: uncultured eukaryote
Lineage: Eukaryota
Description: partial 18S ribosomal RNA
Rfam family: Eukaryotic small subunit ribosomal RNA
Source: RNAcentral